This 596-nucleotide ribosomal RNA is filed under the name uncultured bacterium. Its description in RNAcentral is "partial 16S ribosomal RNA". It matches the Rfam family "Bacterial small subunit ribosomal RNA", at positions 355 to 1375 of the family's 1533-position model. The record is from RNAcentral.
UGGGGAAUUUUGGACAAUGGGCGAAAGCCUGAUCCAGCAAUGCCGCGUGUGUGAAGAAGGCCUUCGGGUUGUAAAGCACUUUUGUCCGGAAAGAAAUCCUUGGCUCUAAUACAGUCGGGGGAUGACGGUACCGGAAGAAUAAGCACCGGCUAACUACGUGCCAGCAGCCGCGGUAAUACGUAGGGUGCAAGCGUUAAUCGGAAUUACUGGGCGUAAAGCGUGCGCAGGCGGUUUGCUAAGACCGAUGUGAAAUCCCCGGGCUCAACCUGGGAACUGCAUUGGUGACUGGCAGGCUAGAGUAUGGCAGAGGGGGGUAGAAUUCCACGUGUAGCAGUGAAAUGCGUAGAGAUGUGGAGGAAUACCGAUGGCGAAAGGCAGCCCCCUGGGCCAAAUACUGACGCUCAUGCACGAAAAGCGUGGGGAGCAAAACAGGAUUAGAUACCCUGGUAGUCCACGCCCUAAAACGAUGUCAACUAGUUGUUGGGGAUUCAUUUCCUUAGUAACGUAGCUAAACGCGUGAAAGUUGACCGCCUGGGGAGUAACGGUCGCAAAGAUUAAAAACUUAAAAGGAAUUGACGGGGUCAUAGCUGUUUCCU